GAUGAACGCUAGCUACAGGCUUAACACAUGCAAGUCGAGGGGCAGCAUGAACUUAGCUUGCUAAGUUUGAUGGCGACCGGCGCACGGGUGAGUAACACGUAUCCAACCUGCCGCUGACUCGGGGAUAGCCUUUCGAAAGAAAGAUUAAUACCCGAUGGCAUAGUUCUUCCGCAUGGUAGAACUAUUAAAGAAUUUCGGUCAUCGAUGGGGAUGCGUUCCAUUAGGUUGUUGGCGGGGUAACGGCCCACCAAGCCUUCGAUGGAUAGGGGUUCUGAGAGGAAGGUCCCCCACAUUGGAACUGAGACACGGUCCAAACUCCUACGGGAGGCAGCAGUGAGGAAUAUUGAUCAAUGGACGAGAGUCUGAACCAGCCAAGUAGCGUGAAGGAUGACUGCCCUAUGGGUUGUAAACUUCUUUUAUACGGGAAUAAAGUGAGGCACGUGUGCCUUUUUGUAUGUACCGUAUGAAUAAGGAUCGGCUAACUCCGUG
RNAcentral lists this ribosomal RNA (489 nucleotides) under uncultured bacterium. RNAcentral describes it as "partial 16S ribosomal RNA". It matches the Rfam family "Bacterial small subunit ribosomal RNA", at positions 28 to 507 of the family's 1533-position model. The record is from RNAcentral.